This 225-nucleotide unclassified non-coding RNA is filed under the name fungal sp. RNAcentral describes it as "partial contains small subunit ribosomal RNA, internal transcribed spacer 1, and 5.8S ribosomal RNA". The stretch from base 1 to 46 matches the Rfam family "Eukaryotic small subunit ribosomal RNA", at positions 1786 to 1831 of the family's 1831-position model. The record is from RNAcentral. Lineage: Eukaryota; Fungi.
AAGUCGUAACAAGGUUUCCGUAGGUGAACCUGCGGAAGGAUCAUUAUCAAAAGUCAAGUCGGGGGCUGUAAAGCUCUCGUCCACACCCAUGUCUUUUGCGUACUCUUGUUUCCUCGGUGGCGCAAGCUGCCGAUUGGACAAACCAAAACCUUUUUUGUAAUUGCAAUCAGCGUCUGAAAAUAAUCUAAUUAUUUACAACUUUCAACAACGGAUCUCUUGGUUCUG